This is a long non-coding RNA of Rhincodon typus (whale shark), 1126 nucleotides long. RefSeq lists it as uncharacterized. The transcript has 3 exons. Lineage: Eukaryota; Metazoa; Chordata; Chondrichthyes; Orectolobiformes; Rhincodontidae. The record is from RefSeq and is a predicted model, not a curated record.
GGCGAAGCACCAGGAACUCGCCCCACGUCAAUCAACCCCUGUAAGGUCAGCGAAGACUCAUUGCUGCCAAAGGAAAGUUAAAUGCUUUACAAAUGGCCUGGAUAAAUAUUAGCUUUCAAGAGAUAAGGAGGACUUAGUCGGGGGUGGCAACCAAGUUCAUUCCCACAGAACAAUUAGAGCACUACUUCAGAUACAACCCCCAAAAGAAGAGGGAUAACACGGUGUAGAACACGGUGUUUCGACCCGAAACGUCAGCUUUUCUGCUCCUCUGAUGCUGCUUGGCCUGCUGUGUUCAUCCAGCUCUACACCUUGUUAUCUCAGAUUCUCCAGCAUCGGCAGUUCCUACUAUCGCUGUACCAAAAGAAGAGGGUUUAUUUGGAUGUGCAAGUGUGAAGUCUUCCUGUCUGUUCAGUCUUAAGUUCUAGCUCGAUUAAACAUCUUUAAAUUCGCGAAUUUAUUUAAAAAAAGUUUCUUCUGGACAUAGGCCCUAGUGAUAUUUUUUAGCUAUUUUGUUUUGCAACGCUUUUAUAUCGUUGGUUUGAUUUAUGGUUAGGGAUCAACGUUGGAAAAUACAACAUGAAUGCUAUUGUCACGAUUCAAAAAUUACAGAAACAAUGUCGUAAGCAACGGUUCCCCUGCGUGAGUUCUCUUCAGUAUCAUGGCAGCAAUUAGUUUCAAUUGAAUUCAGUGCCCCAAUCAAGCAAAAUGAUCAAACUCGAGUCCAAUUCCUGAUUCAUAUUUCAAUGUACCCUGCCCAAAAGUACAGAUGAAGAUUGGCCAGUGACGAAAAAGAUCAUGCUUGAUUGCAAUGACCCCAACCCAACGUUGAACAUCUUGAAAUCGAACCACUGUAUUGACCGCCGAUUAUAGUUGACUCAGACUUCGAAAAGCUAAAACAGGAGAUAGGCUGGAACUGUAGAGUUGUAAAUUAAGGUAAUUCACUGCCUAUAGGAACUGGAAAGAAAUUCUGUAUUCCUACAGUGCCCAUUUAACUCAGCACCUGUGCUACUGUCAGGUUUUAAAGUCACACUGCAUACCAUGAAGAACUGAACAACGUACUGCAAACACACUUUUUCAGUAUUGGAAGAGUAGUUCAAGUGACGUGUGAUAUUAGUUUUUGGAGUGG